RNAcentral lists this ribosomal RNA (456 nucleotides) under uncultured Methanolinea sp. Its description in RNAcentral is "bacterial SSU rRNA". It matches the Rfam family "Archaeal small subunit ribosomal RNA", at positions 881 to 1338 of the family's 1478-position model. The record is from RNAcentral. Lineage: Archaea; Methanobacteriati; Methanobacteriota; Methanomicrobia; Methanomicrobiales; Methanoregulaceae.
ACAACGGUGGAGCCUGCGGUUAAUUGGACUCAACGCCGGGCAGCUCACCGGAUAAGACAGCUGGAUGAUAGCCGGGCUGACGACUCUGCUUGACUAGCUGAGAGGAGGUGCAUGGCCGUCGCCAGUUCGUACUGUGAAGCAUCCUGUUAAGUCAGGCAACGAGCGAGACCCACGCCAACAGUUGCCAGCAUGUCCUCCGGGAUGAUGGGGACACUGUUGGGACCGCCUCUGCUAAAGAGGAGGAAGGAAUGGGCAACGGUAGGUCAGCAUGCCCCGAAUUAUCCGGGCUACACGCGGGCUACAAUGGUCAGGACAAUGGGUAUCGACACCGAGAGGUGGAGGCAAUCUCCUAAACCUGUCCUUAGUUCGGAUUGUGGGCUGCAACUCGCCCACAUGAAGCUGGAAUCCGUAGUAAUCGCGUUUCAAAAUAGCGCGGUGAAUAUGUCCCUGCUCCUU